This 253-nucleotide ribosomal RNA is filed under the name uncultured bacterium. Its description in RNAcentral is "partial 16S ribosomal RNA". It matches the Rfam family "Bacterial small subunit ribosomal RNA", at positions 524 to 776 of the family's 1533-position model. The record is from RNAcentral.
UACGGAGGGUGCAAGCGUUGCUCGGAAUUAUUGGGCGUAAAGGGUAGGUAGGUGGUCUCAUUUGUCUGGGGUGAAAGCCUUGAGCUUAACUCAAGAAGUGCCUCAGAAACGGUGAGACUAGAGUUCUGGAGAGGGUCGUGGAAUUCCCGGUGUAGCGGUGAAAUGCGUAGAGAUCGGGAGGAACACCAGAGGCGAAGGCGGCGACCUGGACAGAUACUGACACUCAACUACGAAAGCGUGGGGAGCAAACAGG